RNAcentral lists this transfer RNA (72 nucleotides) under Chlamydiales bacterium. RNAcentral describes it as "tRNA-Thr". It matches the Rfam family "tRNA". From Rfam's summary of the family: Transfer RNA (tRNA) molecules are approximately 80 nucleotides in length. Their secondary structure includes four short double-helical elements and three loops (D, anti-codon, and T loops). Lineage: Bacteria; Pseudomonadati; Chlamydiota; Chlamydiia; Chlamydiales. The record is from RNAcentral.
GCCCGGAUAGCUCAGGGGUAGAGCACUUGCAUGGUAAGCAAGAGGUCGUAGGUUCAAUUCCUAUUCCGGGCA